This 667-nucleotide ribosomal RNA is filed under the name uncultured Pseudomonadota bacterium. Its description in RNAcentral is "bacterial SSU rRNA". It matches the Rfam family "Bacterial small subunit ribosomal RNA", at positions 81 to 745 of the family's 1533-position model. Lineage: Bacteria; Pseudomonadati; Pseudomonadota. The record is from RNAcentral.
UGCUUCGCUGACGAGUGGCGGACGGGUGAGUAAUGUCUGGGAAACUGCCUGAUGGAGGGGGAUAACUACUGGAAACGGUAGCUAAUACCGCAUAACGUCGCAAGACCAAAGAGGGGGACCUUCGGGCCUCUUGCCAUCGGAUGUGCCCAGAUGGGAUUAGCUAGUAGGUGGGGUAACGGCUCACCUAGGCGACGAUCCCUAGCUGGUCUGAGAGGAUGACCAGCCACACUGGAACUGAGACACGGUCCAGACUCCUACGGGAGGCAGCAGUGGGGAAUAUUGCACAAUGGGCGCAAGCCUGAUGCAGCCAUGCCGCGUGUAUGAAGAAGGCCUUCGGGUUGUAAAGUACUUUCAGCGGGGAGGAAGGGAGUAAAGUUAAUACCUUUGCUCAUUGACGUUACCCGCAGAAGAAGCACCGGCUAACUCCGUGCCAGCAGCCGCGGUAAUACGGAGGGUGCAAGCGUUAAUCGGAAUUACUGGGCGUAAAGCGCACGCAGGCGGUUUGUUAAGUCAGAUGUGAAACCCCCGGGCUCAACCUGGGAACUGCAUCUGAUACUGGCAAGCUUGAGUCUCGUAGAGGGGGGUAGAAUUCCAGGUGUAGCGGUGAAAUGCGUAGAGAUCUGGAGGAAUACCGGUGGCGAAGGCGGCCCCUGGACGAAGACUGACG